CCUGGUGGUCUAGUGGUUAGGAUUCGGCGCUCUCACCGCCGCGGCCCGGGAGAUCGGAAGAGGACAG
This is a long non-coding RNA of Ornithorhynchus anatinus (platypus), 67 nucleotides long. RefSeq lists it as uncharacterized. NCBI's taxonomy places the organism in Eukaryota, Metazoa, Chordata, Mammalia, Monotremata, Ornithorhynchidae. The transcript has 3 exons. The record is from RefSeq and is a predicted model, not a curated record.